GCCCCAGCCUCUCCUCCCUCUCGUUUCCAGUCACCAGAACCAAAUCCAGACACCAACGCUCGUGCGGGAGAGAGAGAGAGAGCCGAGGUCAGAGUGCAUCUACCAACGCCGGCCCCGUCCGCGCCUGGAGCUCGGGAGUUCACGACGGGUUAGCGUACUUCGUGAGGUUGCUGGUGAAGCGCUUGUGGCCGAUUGGGGAGGAAUAAACCACUGUGUCGACCAGAAUUCGUCGUCGGUCGCCGGAUUCCGCCACGCACUGUGGGUGGGUCUGGGCGCCCUUCGGAUCUCGGUGAGCAUCUCCCGUAGUGAUACCCCACAAUUACCGCUGUUUGGUACUGCUUUCGGAUAAGAGUUUAGGCAUGAGGAUCGGAGAUUCGGGAGUUCCGGCCAUGGCGCCGCCGUGGUUCACUGGGUUGCGCCGUUGGCGUGUUCCCAGGGGGAAGAAAGGGUCUGGGCCGUCCAUCUGUUGAUCGACGGCUAGAUUAGAAUUAGGCGUACCCCUUUCCCGGCGUGUGAUCCAUGCCAUCGAUUCAUCCGCGGGCGGCUACGAUUUCAUCGCGCCAUCAUCGAUUCUGGAUCAUUGGAUCGGGAUCCAGUGACCCCGAUUUCAUAUCGAUUCACGCCGCUCUAAUCCUGGUCGUUCGUACUUGAUCAGACGACCGAGAUCUAUUAAUACCGUUUUGUGUAGGUAAUUUUGCGUAAGAGUUCCUCGGAAAUCAUAGAUUCAACACGCGGUACGUUGCAGAGGUAAACUGAGUCUUAGGAUUUUUCAUGUAAUAACCCUUGCACUUCGCAGUAUUUGUGCAUGUAGUACAGAGAAACAAAAUACUAAAUAAAUUCAAUUAGAAAAUAUGUAAAAAUAAUUGCAGGAACAUAAUUAAUUCCUAGAAAAAAUCAUUUUAACUCCUUUUUGACCCAUUCCAAUUUCUAUAAUUUGGUAUUAAUAUUGUUUACCAUAUAGUGUCUCCGUUUUAGCAUGAAACCUAUAUUAAAAUUUGUAACUUUCGUACGUGUUGGGGGCCUUCGGCUUCCGAAGGUCCUCAAAAACAUGAUUUAACAAUGUUUCUGGAGUAUAAUACAUGAGCAGGUACCUUCGAACUUGGACCUUUCGGACUUGAGUCAAAAUCACAGUGUGAAGAAGCACAAGGGAUAUGAAGGAUGGAACGAAGCCGAAGCUGUGCGCAAGGGAGCUUCGGCGUGAUAACAGAAAAAGAAACCGACUUAAAGGGGAAAAUGCUAUCUAGACCCCGAUGAAUUACUGUAGAAUUAUUAGCAAAUGUAAAGGGCAUGAGUGUAAUUUUACAUGGGCUACGUCCCGUGCCUAUAAAUAGAUGAAUAGUGCUCCAGCACUGUUCACACUGACUUGGCAUUUGCUUUUGCAUCACGCUUGUACUCUUUACCUUCCCUCAAGUCGAAGGUACAUUUGCAAUAUGAUAUCAUUUUUAUUUCUUCAUAGUAAUAAAAUAGAAAUGAUUCAGUAAUAACAACAUAUUUAAUUGUUCAUGUUGUCUCUUAUACUUCGUAUGAUUUCCUAUCUAUUUUUAUAUGUCGUGCUUACGAAGGUAAGUCCUUCGUAACCUUCGUACGAAAGUCGUUAUAUCCUAAGGGAAAUAAUGCUUCGAAGGACGAAGGACUUUAACGUUUAACAUUCUUUGUGUUGCCUUGCUCUUAAGCCGAAGCACUUGAAAGCAAGUCCCCAACAUUGGCGCCCACCUCCGGUGAACCCUUUCCGACCACUUUCGGCAAGCAUCGACCUUCGUCAUAUCGCCAAAGAAAGCUUCAGCAACAGGGGCUGCCGCUCUGUAGCCGCUGGACUCGAACCAGGAAACCCUUUCUAUUUGGGAGGCCCGAAGCCAGAAGAGGAAGGCCACCAGUCCAAUGCCUCAGGAGGACGACUUGGACCAAGAAAUCAGGAAUAUGGAGAUGCUUCAUCAGCAAGUGCAACGGAAGAAGGAAAAGAUGGCUCGGCUAGCUGACCUACAAAGACAGAUAGACGAAGCAUCUGAAGAAGUUCGUCAUCUUGCUCAGGAUGAGCAAAACUGAAGGCCCCAACACAGAGAGCUUCACCAAGAGGGCUUCGUCAAUGAGGAUGACUGGUAUGAGGACUUCCACCAUGGAAAUUUUGCCUUUGACGAUGCUUCUCCUUUGUCAGCUGAACUGCAGGCUACACCUUGGCCCCCGUCUUACAAACCACCUCAGCUCCCCAUGUAUGACGGACACUCAGAUCCGAAGCAAUUUCUGAUGAGCUACGAAGCAACCAUAUCUUCAUAUGGUGGCAAUACUACAGUCAUGGCGAAAUCCUUCGUCAUGGCAGUAAAAAAUGUUGCACAAACCUAGUACUCCUCUCUUCGGCCAGGAACAAUCACAUCAUGGCAAAAGCUGAAGGACAUGCUUAUCACCAGUUUCCAAGGGUUUCAGACGAAGCCAGUCACUGCUCAAGCUUUGUUCCAGUGCACUCAGGAUCACGAAGAAUACCUUCAGACGUAUGUCUGAAGGUUCUUACGACUGAGGGCACAGGCGCCAACGGUGCCCAAUGAAAUUGUCAUUGAGGCCAUGAUUAAGGGGCUUCGGCCAGGACCUACAGCCCAAUACUUCACCAGGAAACCCCCUCAGACCCUGGAGAAACUGCUUCAGAAGAUGGAUGAAUACAUCCGAGCUGAUAAUGACUUUCGACAGAGAAGGGAGGAAGCCUACAGAUUCUCCGAAAUGACCAGGGGCUUCGGAGGAAGAGUCCAUCCUAGGCACAUCAGAUCAAUUCAUUCCACUCAGAAUGACGAUAGAGGAGGCCGGCAACAAAGGUCACAAUAUUCCUCCCAGGCUUCGGGGCAGCAACAGAGCUAUCAUCGGCCCCUAGCUCCAAGGGGCAGAGGCGCCAGGGGCUUCGGAGGAAGGUUUGAGGAUCUGCCUAGAAAAAUUUAUUGCCUAUUCUGUGGUGAGGACAAGGGCCAUACUACCAGGAUGUGCCAUGUCACCAUCCAGAAACAGAAAGAGAUAGCAGAAGCUGCAGCCCAACAGAGCCAGCCGAAGCAAGUUAUGCAUACUGCUUCGUACCACUCACCGUACAUUCCAGAGUAUGUGGGUAACCAUUCUGCAGCUUCUCUUGCUUCGGCAAGCCAAUCUCAGGCAUCUUGGCAACAACUUCCACCUCCACCACCAAUACAACGAGGCCAGCAGCCAGAAGGGAGCCAGCACACUCAUCAGCAACGAGACUUCAGAGAGGAGUCCGAAGCUCGCACAGUCAACAGUACUGUACCAGAGUCGAAGCACAUCUAUUAGAAGAUAUCCUGCUGCUGAAAUAGUUCUUGCAUUUGUUACCAUUUUUCUUUUUAAUAAGGAACAAUCAUUGAAAGCCUAAGUUUUUCUUGUCGUUUUCAAUUUCUUGUAACAGCUUCGUUUUUGUCAUAGUGAAAAUAUAUCUUAUACACAGACAUACGGAAUCGAAAAAGUUGCCGAAGCAUGAAAACUCGUUCUUAAGAGCUCGUGGUUACAGAAAGUAUCUCCGAAGCUACAAAAAGUCGUUUUAAGUAACGCAGUGUAAGUUUUUGUCGGAGCAACAAAAGUCGUUCUUAAGGGAACGCAGCGUAAGUUUUCUGCUCAAAAGUCGUUCUAAAGGGAAUGCAGAGCUUACAACGAAAAAUAAACGCUGAUACCACCGAAAUAAAAGGUGAAGAAGCUCCUAAGGGAGGCUUACAACGAAAAAUAAACGCUGAUACCGCCGAAAUAAAAGGCGAAGAAGCUCCUAAGGGAGGCUUACAGCGAAAAAUAAACGCUGAUACCGCCGAAGUAAAAGGCGAAGAAGCUUCUAAGGGAGGCUUACAGCAAAAAUUCAACGCUGAUACACCAAAAAAUAAGCGGUGAAGCCGAAAAAUAAACGGCAAAGAGACUGUGUUCUACUGUGGGAACGUGUGUGUAUCUUCGGCACAAAUAUCAUUUUGCAUAUCAUAGCAUCAUCAUAUCAUUCGCAUAACAUGACAUCAUACAUCAUAUUGCAUCAAUGGCACAAGAAGGGAAUACAAUGUUAAUCUUCGGAAAUUGUUUCGAAGAAAUUGUGCGAAGGCACAAAAUAAAGUUUGAAGAAGUACAACUUCGUCAACUUUAGUAUCAGAGGAGAUCUAUUGCUUACGAAGCAUAAUAUUUUCACGAAUAUGGAUAUUCUUCACGAAGCAUGAAAAGAAGGGAAGGUGUUUUUUCGCCAAAGGCUCAAAAACGGUAUGUAUGUAAAGUUUCAUGCAUCGUAAAGAACUGAAUUACAUACAGCUUAUAUAUUACUUUCAAAACUAUAGAAUAUUACACACUUUGUUCAGCAAAUAUUACAUCAGUAUUCUGAAUGUUUUUACAACAAUAGCUAUUCUUCUUUUAAAACUACUUCCGCAGCUUCGUUUAGUAGUUGAGUCACAGCUUUGUCCAUAAUAGCUUCGGCCAUCUUAGUAAUUUCAUCUUCCUUUUUUGCUUCGGGGUCAGCUUGUGACUCGAAGGGCUCUGGGGGAGGAGAUAAUUCGACUACGAUAUAAAAACAUGAAUAAGUUCGAAGUCACAAGAAUAAAACAUAAAGUCAAAAGCAAUUAGACACUACCUAUCCGCCUUUCAAGUUCUGCAGUUUUUUCAGCUGCCUUUGCUGCUUCUCUAGCAUCGUGGGUAUCUUUUUCAUUUUUCUUUAUAAUUUCGUGAGCCAUCCCUCGGCCACCAUUAUCCCAGAUGUCGGUGAAAAACUUUCUGCCAACCAAGCUUGCCUCGGCCGAGGGGUCUUUUGUAUCUUCAAUAGAGAACGCAGCUUCGGCUUGGGCCAGAAUCUUCACAUGUUCGCAUCCUGCCUUCUCUAAGAUAGCCGCAAUUCCCCUGGCACCUGAGAAGGCGCAAACAUCUCCGCGGCCACUCAAAACUUCCUUAAAGGCUUUGGCUUCGCCGUUGAUCCAUUCGAUUGGACCUUCGGGAUCGCCUAGUACGAAGUUGUCCUCAUUUGAGUAUGCGCCAAUAUUGGCGAAGCUGGUUUUUAUCUUCUGUACACAUGCCACAGAUUUUUCAUAGCAUCUUUCUUUUGAAGAACGAAGCUCCACAACUGUUUUUUCCUAGUAAUUUUUCCAGUAGUCACUGGCGUCUCGGUCAGCUUCGGCAAUUGCACAUUUUAAUUUUUCUUCUGCUAGCUGUUUCCGAAGAUCUUCAAUUUUCGCAUUUCUGGGUCUCAGAUUAGGCUUUUGAAGUAGCCUCGUCUUCUUUUAUCUUGUUUAUCAAUGAGUUUAAUAUUUUGUCUUUUUGAAGACCUUCGUUCCUUAGCUCAAUUACUUCGGAACGAAGGUUAUUCAAGGCCAUGGUACAUCCCUCGUCUUCAGCGCUUUUUUGCGCCCUGAGGGCGUUGCUAAGAAUAAGGCCCUGCAAAAGGAGUGUGGUAUUAAGUAUAAGCAAACGAAUUUUUUUUGUUUUUAAGUACAAAAAUCUUAUUCUCUCACCUUUAAGCUGUUGUAUGCUAAGCUGUCGGUCAAUUCAUCUUUUGAUAACACUGAGAGCCCGUCUUCUAGCGUCGGGAAUCUGAAGCUUCUUGCCAUCUCCCGGCAGACAGAGAUCUCCUUGCUGUCUGGGAGACAAUACAAGAAGUCUUCUUCUCCGCUGCCGUUGAAUAUCAACGCCCCUUUUGGAUAUUUUAAUUUCUGGGCAUAAUGAUGAGCUUCUCGCUUUUCCUCUUCAGAUAGCCUUUUGCCCGAAGCAUGUCGUACAAUAUAAUCAGGUACUCUGGAAGAUGCUUUGGGAGUUGAAGAGAGAGUUUUUUCAGGCAGAAUUUGCUUUAUAGCCUCCUUUUUCGUUUCUCCUCCGGUUUCCAAGGAUUUCUCCUUGGCAGGCUGUGAAGGCCCAACUUCGAUCUCAGCCUGGUGCUUUGUAGCUUCGGCUUCAGAGGCUGUUGUCUCAAUUUGUGCUUUUUGAGCUUCGGCAAUUUUCUUCGGAGUAGAGCUUGAAGACUUUAUUGUCUCCAGUACAUCUAGAACAUUAACCAUCCUUUUUCUUUUGGGGGUCAUUGCUGGACCUUUCUGGGUUUUUGGCACUUCAACUUCUGCCGUAGGACUUAAAAUUUCUGAUGUUUUUGUCCCUUCAGCUCUCGGCUCUUCAAUUUUUUCAGCCUUCGGCGUUGCAGUCAGCUCUUCAGUUUUCUGCGCAGGUGUAGGUUCUUUGGCUUCAGUAGCCGAAGAGGUCUCACCGACAAACUCGGGCACUAUGGCUGGUUCAAUAAAGCGUGGUCGGUGAGUAAGGACCUUCACCUUUUUCCUCUUCGGCGCAGGCUCGCUUGGAGCAGCUGAAGCAUCAUCUUUCCCGGAAGUUGCAUCUUUUCUUUUUUGCCCCCGUAGCGGGUAGCGGUAGUCAGGGUACAUGAACCCAAUAGCAUCAAAAACUCGGUUGAGCCUUUUCUUCUUCCGGCCUCCGAAGGCCGCAGAUAACGCAAUAUCUUCUGCCUUCGAGUAUGGCCCAAGCAGUUCAUCGCUUGUAGCUUCAAUGCAUUUCAGCCAAUCAUCAUCUGGCUCAACAAACUUACCUUCGUACCUGAAGGUGAACUUCAUCCUAAUCAACCCACCUUCGUCAGACUUGGUGAUAGUCUCCUUUGGCAUUUCCCACUUUUAUACAAUUGGCCAUACUCUGAAGGCUAUGUGCUCCUGGAUUAAAUCCCUUGUCCAGAUGAAAGAGCAAACUACGCCGAAGGCCCUCUGGCAUUCUUCGGCUGCCUCGUCAAUAUCCACGUUCGGUUUCUGGAGGCCGAAGCGCUGCUAGAUAGGGCGCAUGAUAAUAUCUUUAAUAUCUUCUCGUGCCUUCAAGUCGUUUUUUACAUAGAACCAUUCCUUCAUCCAAUCUCCGGGCCAUCUCUUCCGAAAUGUUGGCACGGGACAGCUUGACCCAGAGCGGGCACCGAAGCUAUAACAACCAAAAUUGUUAUGAUAUUGCUCUUUGCCCUAGGGUUUCGUCUCAUAUAAUAGCUCGUGCAUAUUGCAGAAACUUUUUGCAUUUGGCUCCAAGCCCUGGCUCCUCAUGACCCAUAUGAAGAUUCCCAUUCUUAUGAUUGCUUUGGGAGUAAGUUGAUGAAGGUAGACCUGAUAUAUCUUCAGAACUUCAACCACAAAUCUGUUUAAGGGGAACCGAAGCCCAGCUUUAAAAAAGCUUCGGAAGAUCACAACUUCAUUCUCUUCGGGAGUAGGCACAGUCCUCUCUCCAUCAUCUGCCCUCACAACAGACAUAUCCGGAAAAUAUCUUUCUCUCAUGUUAUCAAGAUGACUCUGUUUAAUACUUGAUUUUCCGAAAACUGUAUGCCUUGGUCGCCAUGGUCGAUCUUCGGAGUCUUCGCCGCCACUUUCCACAUCAUAACUGUCACUUUCACCGGUAUCUUCAGAUAAGCCUUCUAAAAUUUCUCUAGUAAUCUUCUCUGUAUUUGUUUUCGCUAUUGAUUCAAGAAAGCCCAAAUUCUUCUCCUCAGAAAGGCUUAGUUUCAUUUCAGCAACAGCUUUCUUAUCUUGAGACAUCUCUUCGAAAAUGCUGAAAAUGUGCUCUUAAGGCCGAAGCUAAAAAAUCUAAAAAGCUAGGCAAGCAUUUGUAGGCAAGAGCUGUUUGAGCAGGCAAAGAAGAUGGCAAAGAGCAUACCAAGUGAGCUCGCGGUGUGCUCUUAUUUAUACGCCUAGGGCGUUGCAAGUGGGAGGGUCCCGCUUGUCAUUGACUGUUGCUAUUCUAGCAAACGGAAGGUGUUUUUUUGGACCUUCGGCUUAGGGCCUUUGUCCAUAUCGCAAUCUGAAUUUAUCAUCCUAACAAAUUAAUAUUGCGAGGGGCUACUGUUGGGGGCCUUCGGCUUCCGAAGGUCCUCAAAAACAUGAUUUAACAAUGUUUCUGGAGUAUAAUACAUGAGCAGGUACCUUCGAACUUGG
This 7889-nucleotide long non-coding RNA is filed under the name Zea mays. Its description in RNAcentral is "long non-coding RNA (ZMAY_LNC003674)". The record is from RNAcentral. Lineage: Eukaryota; Viridiplantae; Streptophyta; Magnoliopsida; Poales; Poaceae.